Molecule: long non-coding RNA, 609 nt
Organism: Diuraphis noxia (Russian wheat aphid)
Lineage: Eukaryota; Metazoa; Arthropoda; Insecta; Hemiptera; Aphididae
Source: RefSeq, a predicted model, not a curated record
UUGUAAUUGCUACAACAACCUACCAUUACUAUUUACCAUUUGAUAAUACKGGAAUGAGACAAGAAAUUGAUCUCUAUUGUAGUAUUGUGUUUGCUGUUGACCAUUGUUAAGUAAAUUGAGUAAUAUUUAUUUUUUGUUCUGUCAGUAGUCCUCGGUAAUCUUUUUGAUCGUGUGAUAUGCUGGUACUUUAAUGAUGUCCGGAAUAAGAUCUUCAACUUCGAAAAUGUUGAAAAUCGUUGGUAGAAUAGAAAAACAUCAGUAAUAAAUAAUUGAAUAUUACAAAAUUUAUUCAAACAAUUUAUGACUAUCAAUAUGACUACUGAGAUCAAUGGGGACUUCAGCAUUAAUGAUAACCAUAUUAAAGUCCAAGCAGCUAAGCCAGCGCAAGCGAGUAAUAAAAAAAUGUUGACAUGGGACUAUGCUACAAUAAUUUAUAAAAAAUAAUUGAAAUGCUAUAAAUUCAGUGAAAAUACGAAAACCUUAUAUGAAAAUUGUACCAUUACAUUCUACGUUCAAUCAAAUUUCUAUAGAAAUUAGUAUUGUACUAGAGAAAAAAAUAGCCACAAGUUAUAUACCACAAUUAGCAUUAAUCUGGUUUAUAGAAAUUAU